This 467-nucleotide ribosomal RNA is filed under the name uncultured bacterium. Its description in RNAcentral is "partial 16S ribosomal RNA". It matches the Rfam family "Bacterial small subunit ribosomal RNA", at positions 28 to 506 of the family's 1533-position model. The record is from RNAcentral.
GACGAACGCUGGCGGCGUGCUUAACGCAUGCAAGUCGAACGGAAAGGCCCUGCUUUUGUGGGGUGCUCGAGUGGCGAACGGGUGAGUAACACGUGAGUAACCUGCCCUUGACUUUGGGAUAACUUCAGGAAACUGGGGCUAAUACCGGAUAGGAGCUCCUGCUGCAUGGUGGGGGUUGGAAAGUUUCGGCGGUUGGGGAUGGACUCGCGGCUUAUCAGCUUGUUGGUGGGGUAGUGGCUUACCAAGGCUUUGACGGGUAGCCGGCCUGAGAGGGUGACCGGCCACAUUGGGACUGAGAUACGGCCCAGACUCCUACGGGAGGCAGCAGUGGGGAAUAUUGCACAAUGGGCGGAAGCCUGAUGCAGCAACGCCGCGUGCGGGAUGACGGCCUUCGGGCUGUAAACCGCUUUCGCCUGUGACGAAGCGUGAGUGACGGUAAUGGGGAAAGAAGCACCGGCUAACUACGU